AUAGCCACUUCAUUUACUCCAUGCUCAUAUGCAACAUCUUCCCAAUCUAUUGGUCUCUCCGACAUCACCACACUUGAGAUCUCCAACCCCCUCUUCCUUUCUAUUUAUAAAAACUUUAAAAGGGCGGUUGCCGAUGCAUAUGUCUAUAAUAAAUAUUGCAGAUCUUGUUGAGUUGAUCUUGAUAUAGGUUAGCGUUGGAAGGGAAACCACUUCGCCGACACAAAUUGAUGGUUUCCCAAGGACAAACUUAGUGUCCUAAAAUAAGCACUGAUCAGAUCGUAACAUGAGCUUUUAAUUAUCUGCAACAUUACCUUGUGUAUUGAGCAUAUAAGGAUAAUUGUAAAAAUAUUCCUUCGGGUAUUCUUGUCACUAACCUUUCCAGGACUGGAGCAAGAAGAUCGGAUGAAUGACAAGCACAAGGUAUGUCCAACCGAUCAUCAUACAACAUUGAAUUAAAUUCAUCCAAACUUGAAUUUUGCAAAAUUCAAGCUUGGGGUAGUACCUUACAUAAAAACGUCCUUUGUCAUGUUGUUAUGUUGGUUGUCUCUACCUUUGAGACAUGCUCAAUUUGUUAAAUACUAAUCACACUACUUCAUCUCCACUUGAGUAGAUCUCUAUAAAUGCCAUCACGCUACCUUUGUUUAUCCUAGUAAGUGUUAGUUUGGAAGUACUACACAUACUUCUAUUGGCUUUUAAAUUAAGCAUGGUGCUUAGGUUAAACAGCCUUCCUUAAUCUGAUUAGACAUGGAGUCUAGUUCGGUUAUUGAACUAAAAACUGCUUGUGUAGACAUUGGUAUAUUUUGUCGGACUAACCCCUGCAGAAAAACUUUCAAUAUCAAUUUGGGAAGUCCUGAGAUAAACUCACAUUGAAGACAAAGAGAGAGACACAUGAAGUUUAACAAUUUACACAAGGAGGACAUAGCUCAUUCAUCAUAGAGAGAUGAUCCAUGGAAGGAGACAAAGUACAUAACCAAGAUGAACAACAGCUAAGAAUGGAAAGCUUCCACAAGGUGAUACUGUACCAUCACUCUUCAAUUAAGAUAACAUCUUAAGAUAUCUGACUAUCACUUUUAUAAGCUUCUCCUUGGUUCUGGCGUUCACAUAAAUAAAGAGACAAACAUGUAUGAUUUAUAACUCCAAAUUAACCAACCCAACUGAUUCAGCAUGUUUAGUCCUUUAAUCUUUGUUCCUAGUACUACCUCCAUGAUCCCACACUCCUAAUCAUAUGAUCUAAAAUGUUACACAUUCAAUCUUUGAGAGAUAUAAAGAAAAAGACAUAUAAAUAGAUAGAUUAUCUCUCCAUAAGGUUGAGCGAUCUGCUUUGACAAAUGCUAUAAGUGCCACACUCAUGAACUUAUCAUCCAUCAACUUUGUCUUGCUCACUAUGCUUAAGGUUAGAGAAGAACAAAUACACUUUUGGUUCUAUUGGUGUUUUCCACCAACAGGACCCAUGCACUUGAUCUCUGCCUUGUCUCUAUGAGCAGGUACACUUCGAGCAAAACAUGAAGGAGUUUUAUAACUCUCAGACUCUACCAAGUGAAGGUCCUGGAUUUACGAGCACAAACACACUGAGUAGGAUGCUGCCAACGCCGCACUUCGAACUGCUGGGCAAACGAAGAACAUGGGUGAUACCGUAUCAAGAGGAGUAGACGUCAAGGUCCGCACCUGAAUCAAAUGACGCACCUGAAGAAUGAACAUGGUGAGAAGUCUUGUUCAGAAGACUUAAAACAUUGAACCCUCGCCGAAAGGUAAAAUCGGUAGUUAUCCAUAUUUAUCCUUUCUGCAUUCCCUUUUCCCUUUAGUUACUUACUUUCCUUAAAUAGCUUAUUAGUUAAUCAUGCUAUCCUGAAAAGAAAAUAAAAAUGUUAAAAAUACUAAGCCCCAUGUGAGUAUGCUUGUGGCAUGAAACCCAUAAGUACAUUCACUGUGGCGGCAUAAAAAUAAAAUAAAUAUAUUCCUAUCUUAUAGAAAUGAAAAUAUAAAAAUAAAUUUAUGAUCCUACCAAAGAGAGUAAUAUUUAUUAGAGAAAGCUCAACAUGAUAAAGGCGAAGAGAUUUUAUGCUAACACUUAACCAGUUCCACAAAGCUUUGUUGUCUAUUUGAGCUCCACAGAAUUCAAGGAUCAAAGAAGACUAGCAGACGGAGGACAUUCUAAUCGCUGUCACUGCCGACAUUCAAAUACACCUCCGCCACCUGCUAGCUACAUCAGAAGAAAUUACGUCAAAAUCUAGCUUGGGGGAGAGCACCCCCAUUUAUCCAGCUAGGUGUUUCUACUCAUAUUUAUACAUUACUCAAAUAAUAAAAAGAUGCAUAAUCAUAAAAACCCAAAUAAAGAUUUUAUGCUUAUAUAUAUAUCUAUGCUUAGUUUGCUAAAUAAAUAAAUAAAUAAAGUUUGCUAUGAACCCUCAUGAUAAGCUCUCACAUGGAUAUGAUGAAUAGUUGCUCUGCCAUGACUAGUUCUCAAAAUUAAAAUCUCUCUCAAGUUUAGGUAUGACUGUUAUGAAUUAAGAUUUGCUCUAAACGUGAACUUGUGGGAAGAGUACUUGAUCUAAAGUCUAAGUCGUUAACGGAUAUGAUAUGGGAAGGUUGAUCUCCUGUUUAUCCGUUCCUAGAAAUGCUAGAUCUCUGGAGAAUUUUAUCUUAAAAAAAAAUCUUUAAAAUAUGGCAUGAUGUGUUCCUGUAUGAUGAGAGUUUAAAAUCCUACCACAGCCAUAUAUACAUGCUUAUUAGCCUAUGAACCAUACAUUUACUUUUUACUACUUAUGAGCAUUGAGUGUGGUCAAGCUGUGUAGACCCUUAGGAGCUUGUCAUGUGGUUAAAAUCAAGAUCCACCUGCACGUUCACUCAUACAUGCUGCUUCUACUCCGGAAGUACGCAUCCACAUACAUCCAUUCAUUUCCAUCUCCAGAUUCACCUAAAAUUAUUCUACUCCUAUCCAGGAGAGAAUAGCCAAAAACAUUAUCCUAUCCCUGUUAUUCCCUGUGAAAUAAAUGCUUGAGAUAUUUUGGUUACUACCACUUGCUAUAUUAUUCUAGGAGGGUGAGUGCUCUGAAAAAAAAGUGAAUACGAGGAAAUAAAAAGGGGCAAGUGCCCGGAACCUCGAAAGAAAAGAAAAAGUGAGACGAGAGGUAAAAAUGGACAAGUGUCCGAUAGUCGAAUUAGGGGAACAAGAUACCCACCUGAGAGAUAAGAAAAAAAAUAAAAUAUAGAGCAUCUCAUUCCCUUCAAAAAGCUUCAAAGUGCAAGAAAGGUAUGUAUCCCCUCAAAAGAGCAAAAGUAGAAUUAGACUUUCACCAAUAUUUUCACCAUCAUCACCAUAGACCAUGCAUUCGCCACACAUGCACAUCUUGAUUUGACUUGUUGACUUGUUUCUCUGGAUCCAUAGUUUGACUAUGCAAUAAAUGUCUUGUAAGUAUGUAUUAGCUGUCUCCCACCUAUGAGCUCCAGAUAUCAAACCUUAUUAGAGUAGGGUGAGAGACAAGGCAAUAUCACUAUGCCUCAUACCACAAAUACUACAUACUUUGAGAGAGUCAUACAGGAAUCUCUGAGUUUUAUUUUGAAAAUCUACAAAAACUCCAGAGCUAUAGUUGAUCAAGAACAAGAGACAUGGUACUUGACUUGACCGUUCUAUCUUUUAACUGCUCAAGACACAAGUGACGGUUGCAAGCCCCAUGGUGAAAGGUAAUAUGAGUAAGUUUUAAAUCUUAACAAUUUACCCUAAACUAGAGAUGAGAUCUUGUUUAAAUGCAUGUGUACCUUUAAGGCAUAAAACCACUGUAGAAACUCUUGAGUCCAUCCUUGCUCAGGGACGAGCAAGAGGUAAGCUUGGGGGAGUUGUUGACGGUCCUUAAGUACCAAAUAUAAUCAGCAAAUAAACAAAGAAAAGGAUCUAAAUACAACCAACAUCUAAACUUAGGGUUUUAUCUGACAGAAUUCCACGAGUUUUGGUGUUUGUCUAUUUCUGCAGGGGGUUAUCAGGAAAUAUGGAGGAAAGGCCCACAUGUCGGGUUUACAUAGAGAUAUGAACGUGCCGCGAAAUUUUCUAUCAUCUAGAAGACUCCAGAAGCCACGAGAACGAACGGGUGGCUGAGCGGGCU
Molecule: long non-coding RNA, 4097 nt
Filed under: Sorghum bicolor (sorghum)
Lineage: Eukaryota; Viridiplantae; Streptophyta; Magnoliopsida; Poales; Poaceae
Description: long non-coding RNA (SBIC_LNC002771)
Source: RNAcentral